CAACACUUUACGGACGCUGAGGCACGAAAGCGUGGGUAUCGAACAGGAUUAGAUACCCUGGUAGUCCACGCAGUAAACGAUGAAUACUAAUUGUUCGGGGGGCAACCCCUGAGUGAUACAGCGAAAGCGUUAAGUAUUCCACCUGGGGAGUACGCCGGCAACGGUGAAACUCAAAGGAAUUGACGGGGGCCCGCACAAGCGGAGGAACAUGUGGUUUAAUUCGAUGAUACGCGAGGAACCUUACCCGGGCUCAAACGUUGGGGGAAUGACGGUGAAAGCCGUCAGCCAGCAAUGGUCGCCAACGAGGUGCUGCAUGGUUGUCGUCAGCUCGUGCCGUGAGGUGUCGGCUUAAGUGCCAUAACGAGCGCAACCCCUGCGUCCAGUUACCAUCAAGUCAUGUUGGGGACUCUGGACGGACUGCCGGCGCAAGCCGUGAGGAAGGCGGGGAUGACGUCAAAUCAGCACGGCCCUUACGUCCGGGGCGACACACGUGUUACAAUGGCGUGGAACAGCGGGAAGCCACCUGGCGACAGGGAGCGGACCCCUAAAACACGUCUCAGUUCGGAUUGGAGUCUGCAACUCGACUCCAUGAAGCUGGAUUCGCUAGUAAUCGCGCAUCAGCCAUGGCGCGGUGAAUACGUUCCCGGGCCUUGUACACACCGCCCGUCAAGCCAUGGGAGCCGGGAGUGCCUGAAGUACGUAACCGGAAGGAGCGUCCAAGGGUAACACUGGUGACUGGGGCUAAGUCGUAACAAGGUAACC
RNAcentral lists this ribosomal RNA (762 nucleotides) under uncultured bacterium. Its description in RNAcentral is "bacterial SSU rRNA". It matches the Rfam family "Bacterial small subunit ribosomal RNA", at positions 730 to 1501 of the family's 1533-position model. The record is from RNAcentral.